UUAAUAGGCUGCUGCGACUCAUUGUG
Molecule: non-coding RNA, 26 nt
Filed under: Cricetulus griseus (Chinese hamster)
Lineage: Eukaryota; Metazoa; Chordata; Mammalia; Rodentia; Cricetidae
Source: RNAcentral